CCUACGGGAGGCUGCAGUGGGGAAUAUUGGACAAUGGGGGCAACCCUGAUCCAGCCAUGCCGCGUGUGUGAAGAAGGCCCUCGGGUUGUAAAGCACUUUCAGUGAGGAAGAACGCCUGGUGGUUAAUACCCAUCAGGAAAGACAUCACUCACAGAAGAAGCACCGGCUAACUCCGUCCCAGCAGCCGCGGUAAUACGGAGGGUGCGAGCGUUAAUCGGAAUUACUGGGCGUAAAGCGCGCGUAGGUGGCUUGAUAAGCCGGUUGUGAAAGCCCCGGGCUCAACCUGGGAACGGCAUCCGGAACUGUCAAGCUAGAGUGCAGGAGAGGAAGGUAGAAUUCCCGGUGUAGCGGUGAAAUGCGUAGAGAUCGGGAGGAAUACCAGUGGCGAAGGCGGCCUUCUGGACUGACACUGACACUGAGGUGCGAAAGCGUGGGUAGCAAACAGGAUUAGAUACCCCAGUAGUC
RNAcentral lists this ribosomal RNA (465 nucleotides) under Vreelandella stevensii. RNAcentral's name for it is "partial 16S ribosomal RNA". It matches the Rfam family "Bacterial small subunit ribosomal RNA", at positions 338 to 795 of the family's 1533-position model. The record is from RNAcentral. Lineage: Bacteria; Pseudomonadati; Pseudomonadota; Gammaproteobacteria; Oceanospirillales; Halomonadaceae.